CCUACGGGUGGCAGCAGUGGGGAAUAUUGGACAAUGGGGGCAACCCUGAUCCAGCCAUGCCGCGUGUGUGAAGAAGGCCCUCGGGUUGUAAAGCACUUUCAGUGAGGAAGAACGCCUGGUGGUUAAUACCCAUCAGGAAAGACAUCACUCACAGAAGAAGCACCGGCUAACUCCGUGCCAGCAGCCGCGGUAAUACGGAGGGUGCGAGCGUUAAUCGGAAUUACUAGGCGUAAAGCGCGCGUAGGUGGCUUGAUAAGCCGGUUGUGAAAGCCCCGGGCUCAACCUGGGAACGGCAUCCGGAACUGUCAAGCUAGAGUGCAGGAGAGGAAGGUAGAAUUCCCGGUGUAGCGGUGAAAUGCGUAGAGAUCGGGAGGAAUACCAGUGGCGAAGGCGGCCUUCUGGACUGACACUGACACUGAGGUGCGAAAGCGUGGGUAGCAAACAGGAUUAGAUACCCCGGUAGUC
Molecule: ribosomal RNA, 465 nt
Filed under: Vreelandella stevensii
Lineage: Bacteria; Pseudomonadati; Pseudomonadota; Gammaproteobacteria; Oceanospirillales; Halomonadaceae
Description: partial 16S ribosomal RNA
Rfam family: Bacterial small subunit ribosomal RNA
Source: RNAcentral